This 460-nucleotide ribosomal RNA is filed under the name uncultured bacterium. RNAcentral's name for it is "bacterial SSU rRNA". It matches the Rfam family "Bacterial small subunit ribosomal RNA", at positions 28 to 499 of the family's 1533-position model. The record is from RNAcentral.
GACGAACGCUGGCGGCGCGCCUAACACAUGCAAGUCGAACGGAGCUGAGAGGAGCUUGCUUUUCUUAGCUUAGUGGCGAACGGGUGAGUAACGCGUGAGUAACCUGCCCUGGAGUGGGGGACAACAGUUGGAAACGACUGCUAAUACCGCAUAAGCCCACGAUCCGGCAUCGGAUUGAGGGAAAAGGAUUUAUUCGCUUCAGGAUGGACUCGCGUCCAAUUAGCUAGUUGGUGAGGUAACGGCCCACCAAGGCGACGAUUGGUAGCCGGACUGAGAGGUUGAACGGCCACAUUGGGACUGAGACACGGCCCAGACUCCUACGGGAGGCAGCAGUGGGGGAUAUUGCACAAUGGGGGAAACCCUGAUGCAGCGACGCCGCGUGGAGGAAGAAGGUUUUCGGAUUGUAAACUCCUGUCGUUAGGGACGAUAAUGACGGUACCUAACAAGAAAGCACCGGCUA